GACGAACGCUGGCGGCGUGCUUAACACAUGCAAGUCGAACGGAAAGGCCCUGCUUUUGUGGGGUGCUCGAGUGGCGAACGGGUGAGUAACACGUGAGUAACCUGCCCUUGACUUUGGGAUAACUUCAGGAAACUGGGGCUAAUACCGGAUAGGAGCUCCUGCUGCAUGGUGGGGGUUGGAAAGUUUCGGCGGUUGGGGAUGGACUCGCGGCUUAUCAGCUUGUUGGUGGGGUAGUGGCUUACCAAGGGUUUGACGGGUAGCCGGCCUGAGAGGGUGACCGGCCACAUUGGGACUGAGAUACGGCCCAGACUCCUACGGGAGGCAGAAGUGGGGAAUAUUGCACAAUGGGCGGAAGUCUGAUGCAGCAACGCCGCGUGCGGGAUGACGGCCUUCGGGUUGUAAACCGCUGUCGCCUGUGACGAAGCGUGAGUGACGGUAAUGGGUAAAGAAGCACCGGCUAACUACGUG
RNAcentral lists this ribosomal RNA (468 nucleotides) under uncultured bacterium. RNAcentral's name for it is "partial 16S ribosomal RNA". It matches the Rfam family "Bacterial small subunit ribosomal RNA", at positions 28 to 507 of the family's 1533-position model. The record is from RNAcentral.